Tupaia belangeri chinensis (Chinese tree shrew) is the source of this 595-nucleotide long non-coding RNA. RefSeq lists it as uncharacterized. The transcript has 3 exons. The record is from RefSeq and is a predicted model, not a curated record. Lineage: Eukaryota; Metazoa; Chordata; Mammalia; Scandentia; Tupaiidae.
CGCCGGACCCCCGCAGCCGGCGGGAGCCUGCUGGACCCAGACUCACGCAUCCAUGUCGGGGGAGGGCAGGCACGUCCAUCUGGCCGCCGGGAGCCCUCAGCGCGCCCGGAAGGCGGAAGGUGGAGGAGGGAUCCCGCCACUACGCUCGGAAACCAGAGUCACCCGCCAGAUGCCAUGAAAUGUUUCAAAAGAGCGUAUAAAUAUUAAAAAUAUUGACUGGAAUCUGAACAUUUUACUCUAGUGAUGGAUAUCAAAUUGGUUUUAUGCAAAAUGCCUGCCUAAAAAAUGAGAGAGCACUAUGCUUUAUCAUCUCCAUCUUUGUAAUUAUCUCAGGAAAAAGGAAGAGGAAAGAAUGAACAUUUGUACAAAUGAGAUUCACCUCUCUUAACAGGUAAGGCAAGAUGAACCGCACUGCUGUGUAGACCUUCAGCUGUCUCGAGUCCAGUCCAUUCAGAUGAUGCACAUUCAGAUAAAUCCCAACAGAACAGACCGGCCUCAGAAUUUCCAUGAAGAUGGUUGUGCAUGACUUUAAUUCUUCCAAUUGCUGUAUUUCAAAGCGUUGGAGACUAACUUGUUAAAAAUAAAAAACCUGGGA